AACGCGAAGAACCUUACCUACCCUUGACAUCUAUGGAAUUUAGUAGAGAUAUCGAAGUGCCGCAAGGAACCAUAAGACAGGUGCUGCAUGGCUGUCGUCAGCUCGUGUUGUGAGAUGUUGGGUUAAGUCCCGUAACGAGCGCAACCCUUAUCCUUAGUUGCCAACGCGUAAUGGCGGGGACUCUAAGGAGACUGCUGGUGAUGAACCGGAGGAAGGCGGGGACGACGUCAAGUCAUCAUGGCCUUUAUGGGUAGGGCUACACACGUGCUACAAUGGUCGGUACAAAGGGUUGCCAAACCGCGAGGUGGAGCCAAUCUCAAAAAGCCGAUCGUAGUCCGGAUUGAAGUCUGCAACUCGACUUCAUGAAGUCGGAAUCGCUAGUAAUCGCGAAUCAGAAUGUCGCGGUGAAUACGUUCCCGGGCCUUGUACACACCGCACGA
This 440-nucleotide ribosomal RNA is filed under the name uncultured bacterium. RNAcentral describes it as "bacterial SSU rRNA". It matches the Rfam family "Bacterial small subunit ribosomal RNA", at positions 958 to 1397 of the family's 1533-position model. The record is from RNAcentral.